Non-coding RNA from Microthyrium microscopicum, 72 nucleotides. The record is from the annotation of a GenBank genome assembly. Lineage: Eukaryota; Fungi; Ascomycota; Dothideomycetes; Microthyriales; Microthyriaceae.
GGCUGAAUGGUCUAGUGGUAUGAUUCCUGCUUUGGGUGCAGGAGGUCCCGUGUUCAAUCCACGGUUCAGCCC